This 64-nucleotide transfer RNA is filed under the name Urocitellus parryii (Arctic ground squirrel). RNAcentral describes it as "Spermophilus parryii (Arctic ground squirrel) tRNA". It matches the Rfam family "tRNA". Rfam says of the family: Transfer RNA (tRNA) molecules are approximately 80 nucleotides in length. Their secondary structure includes four short double-helical elements and three loops (D, anti-codon, and T loops). Further hydrogen bonds mediate the characteristic L-shaped molecular structure. tRNAs have two regions of fundamental functional importance: the anti-codon, which is responsible for specific mRNA codon recognition, and the 3' end, to which the tRNAs corresponding amino acid is attached (by aminoacyl-tRNA synthetases). tRNAs cope with the degeneracy of the genetic code in two manners: having more than one tRNA (with a specific anti-codon) for a particular amino acid; and 'wobble' base-pairing, i.e. permitting non-standard base-pairing at the 3rd anti-codon position. The record is from Rfam by way of RNAcentral. RNAcentral also lists the same sequence under 2 other names. Lineage: Eukaryota; Metazoa; Chordata; Mammalia; Rodentia; Sciuridae.
GGUGUAGCUCAGUGCUAGAGUGCUUGCCUAACAGGCAUGAGCCCUGAGUUGGAUCCUCAGCACC